RNAcentral lists this ribosomal RNA (636 nucleotides) under Actinomycetales bacterium Ri2Ps_4954. Its description in RNAcentral is "bacterial SSU rRNA". It matches the Rfam family "Bacterial small subunit ribosomal RNA", at positions 382 to 1029 of the family's 1533-position model. Lineage: Bacteria; Bacillati; Actinomycetota; Actinomycetes; Actinomycetales. The record is from RNAcentral.
CCUGAUGCAGCGACGCCGCGUGGGGGAUGAAGGCCUUCGGGUUGUAAACUCCUUUCGCUCGUGACGAAGCCUUUGGGUGACGGUAGCGGGAGAAGAAGCACCGGCUAACUACGUGCCAGCAGCCGCGGUAAUACGUAGGGUGCGAGCGUUGUCCGGAAUUAUUGGGCGUAAAGAGCUUGUAGGCGGUUUGUCGCGUCUGCUGUGAAAGCCCGGGGCUUAACUCCGGGUCUGCAGUGGGUACGGGCAGGCUAGAGUGUGGUAGGGGAGACUGGAAUUCCUGGUGUAGCGGUGAAAUGCGCAGAUAUCAGGAGGAACACCGAUGGCGAAGGCAGGUCUCUGGGCCAUUACUGACGCUGAGAAGCGAAAGCAUGGGGAGCAAACAGGAUUAGAUACCCUGGUAGUCCAUGCCGUAAACGUUGGGCGCUAGGUGUGGGCCUCAUUCCACGAGGUCUGUGCCGUAGCUAACGCAUUAAGCGCCCCGCCUGGGGAGUACGGCCGCAAGGCUAAAACUCAAAGGAAUUGACGGGGGCCCGCACAAGCGGCGGAGCAUGCGGAUUAAUUCGAUGCAACGCGAAGAACCUUACCAAGGCUUGACAUACACCAGAUCGCAGCAGAGAUGUUGUUUCCUUUUGGUUG